RNAcentral lists this ribosomal RNA (240 nucleotides) under Salmonella enterica subsp. enterica serovar Kentucky. RNAcentral describes it as "partial 23S ribosomal RNA". It matches the Rfam family "Bacterial large subunit ribosomal RNA", at positions 2708 to 2925 of the family's 2925-position model. Lineage: Bacteria; Pseudomonadati; Pseudomonadota; Gammaproteobacteria; Enterobacterales; Enterobacteriaceae. The record is from RNAcentral.
ACUGGUGUUCGGGUUGUCAUGCCAAUGGCACUGCCCGGUAGCUAAAUGCGGAAGAGAUAAGUGCUGAAAGCAUCUAAGCACGAAACUUGCCCCGAGAUGAGUUCUCCCUGAGACUUAGAGUCUCCUGAAGGAACGUUGAAGACGACGACGUUGAUAGGCCGGGUGUGUAAGCGCAGCGAUGCGUUGAGCUAACCGGUACUAAUGAACCGUGAGGCUUAACCUUACAACGCCGAAGRUGUU